RNAcentral lists this transfer RNA (77 nucleotides) under Paraburkholderia kururiensis. RNAcentral describes it as "tRNA-Arg". It matches the Rfam family "tRNA". Rfam says of the family: Transfer RNA (tRNA) molecules are approximately 80 nucleotides in length. Their secondary structure includes four short double-helical elements and three loops (D, anti-codon, and T loops). The record is from RNAcentral. Lineage: Bacteria; Pseudomonadati; Pseudomonadota; Betaproteobacteria; Burkholderiales; Burkholderiaceae. RNAcentral also lists the same sequence under 2 other names.
GCGGCAGUAGCUCAGCUGGAUAGAGCAUCGGCCUUCUAAGCCGAGGGUCGGGGGUUCGAGCCCCUCCUGCCGUGCCA